Non-coding RNA from Vicugna pacos (alpaca), 3023 nucleotides. NCBI's taxonomy places the organism in Eukaryota, Metazoa, Chordata, Mammalia, Artiodactyla, Camelidae. The record is from RefSeq and is a predicted model, not a curated record.
GGAGCGGCCACAAGCUGGUUAAACUGAACUUCUUUCUCUGGGGACUUGUGGAUGGGUUGGUGGCAUGAAAGGGAAAAAUUGGAGAGAAGCCCCCCACCCCCCAGUAUUCUCCUUUAAGUCCCAGCAUGCAAUGCAACAGUCCUUCAAGCAGAGAAAGGCCUUGAGGUACUGGGAGCCAGGUGGGUCAGAGGGCACCAGCCCUGGUGCUGAUUCUCUCAGCACUCUCUUGGGGUGUCGUCGGGACCCUGCAGGUGGCGCUGAGGAGGAGCAGGCAAGGCCAGAGGGGGCUGUGAAUGGGCCUUUGGAGCCCCAGAUCCUUGAGGACAACCUCACGCUCAGCCUAGCAGAGGUGCUUCAGACCAGUCUGCCUGAGGCUUUGCGGAUCAAAUUGGAAUUGGAUGGUGAGAGUCAUAUCCUGGAGCUGCUACAGAAUAGGGACCUAGUCUCAGGCCGCCCAACCCUGGUAUGGUACCAGCCUGAUGGCACCCGGGUGGUCAGUGAGGGACACACUCUGGAGAACUGCUGCUACCAGGGAAUUGUGCAGGGCCAUGCCGACUCCUGGGUCUCUGUCUGCACCUGCUCUGGGCUCAGGGGCUUAGUGAUCCUGUCCCCAGAGAGAAGCUACGUCCUGGAUCUGGGGCCUGGGGACCUUCAGGGUUCCCCCGUUAUUUCCCGGAUCCAAGACCUCCUCCUGCCAGGCCACACUUGUGCCCUGAGCAGGCCUGCAUCUGUGCUCACUCAGGCUCCACCAGCGCGCCCCCUGGGACAGCAUCACAGUCACCGGUGGAGGCGGGAUGUGGUGACAGAGACCAAGAUUGUGGAGCUGGUGAUUGUGGCUGACCAUUCUGAGGUCCAGAGGUACCGGGACUUCCAGAGCCUGCUGAACCGUACCUUGGAAGUAGUCGUCCUCCUGGACACAUUCUUCCGACCUCUGAAUGUCCGAGUGAUGUUAGUGGGCCUGGAGGCCUGGGCCCAGCGCAACCUGAUAGAGAUAAGCCAGGACCCAGCUCUCACACUAGACAGCUUCCUCCGCUGGCGCCGGUCAGACCUGCUGCCUCGAUUGCCCCACGACAGUGCCCAGCUGGUGACUGCUACUUCAUUCUCUGGGCCCACGGUGGGCAUGGCCAUUCAGAACUCCAUCUGCUCUCCUGAUUUCUCAGGAGGUGUGAACAUGGACCACUCCACAAGCAUCCUGGGAGUUGCCUCCUCAAUAGCCCAUGAGUUGGGCCACAGCCUAGGCCUGGACCACGACUCACCUGGGAACCGCUGCCCCUGUCCAGGUCCCGCCCCAGCCAAGAGCUGCAUCAUGGAGGCCUCCACAGACUUCCUGCCAGGCCUGAACUUCAGCAACUGCAGCCGACAGGCCCUGGAGAAAGCCCUCCUGGGUGGGAUGGGCAGCUGCCUCUUUGAACGGCUGUCCACUCUGCCCUCUAUGGCCAGCAUCUGUGGAAAUAUGUUGGUGGAGCCCGGCGAGCAGUGUGACUGUGGCUUCCCAGAUGACUGCGCCGAUCCCUGCUGUGAUUACCACACCUGCCAGCUGAGGCCAGGGGCACAGUGCGCAUCUGAUGGACUCUGUUGUCAAAAUUGCCAGCUGCGCCCGGCUGGCUGGCAGUGUCGCCCUACCAGAGGUGACUGUGACUUGCCCGAGUUCUGCCCAGGAGACAGCUCCCAGUGCCCCCCUGAUGUCAGCCUGGGAGAUGGCGAGCCGUGUGCUGGUGGACAGGCUGUGUGCAUGCAAGGGCGUUGUGCCUCCUAUGCCCAGCAGUGCCAAGCUCUCUGGGGACCUGGGGCCCAGCCCGCCAUGCCGCUUUGCCUCCUGACUGCCAAUACUCGGGGGGAUGCCUUUGGGAGCUGUGGGCGCAACCCUGAUAGAAGCUACGUGUCCUGUGCCCCCAGAGAUGCCAUUUGUGGACAGCUCCAGUGCCAGGGUGGGAGGGCCCAGCCUCUGCUAGGCUCAGCCCGGGAUCUGCACUGGGAGGUGCUGGAAGACAAUGGGACUCAGCAGAAGUUGAACUGCAGCUGGGUCCACCUGGACUUGGGCAAUGACGUGGCCCAGCCCCUCCUGACUCUGCCUGGCACAGCCUGUGGUCCUGGCCUGGUGUGCAUUAACCAUCGAUGCCAGCCUGAGGAAAUCCUGGGUGCACAGGAAUGUCGAAGCAAAUGCCAUGGGCAUGGGGUCUGCGACAGCAACAGACACUGCCGCUGUGAGGAGGGCUGGGCACCCCCGGACUGCACCACCCACAUCAGAGCAACCAGCUCCCUGACCACAGGGCUGGCCCUCAGCCUCCUGUUGUUGCUGGUCCUGGUAUUGCUUGGUGCCAGCUACUGGCACCGUGCCCGCCUGCGCCAGCGAAUCUGCCAGCUCAAGGGACCCAGCUGCCAAUACAGGGCAGCCCAGUCUGGUCCUCCAGAACGCCCAGGACCCCCGCAGAGGGCCCUGCUGAUGCCAGGUGCCAAGGUGGAUCUACCUGUGCUCCCAGCCGUGACUCCUGGAGGGCAGGAGGGGGUGGUGCUCAGAGUGGCCUUCAGUGUGCCAGGACCUGACGAGGCCCAGGUCACCAUGUGUAGAAGGGCUGUCUCAGGGGCCCGCCAAGCCCCCACCCCCAAGAAAACCACUGCCUGCUGAUCCCCAGGGCCAGCGCCCUUCGGGUGACCUGCUUGACCCUGGAGCUGGAAUCCCGCCCCCAGUGGUACCCUCCAGGCCUGCGCCGCCGCCUCCAGCAAUGUCCUCGCUCUACCUCUGACCUCUCCUGAGGUCCCGCUGCCUCUAACCUGGACUUAGGACUUCAAGAGGUGGGCCUGACCCCUGGAGUCCCCCCGCGAUGACUGAAGGAGCUGGAGCCUGGACGCUACAGAGCAGGCCUCUUAAGACACCAGGCACCUCCACGCACUGUUGAGGAGCACCCUGGGGACCCGCCCACGCAAUGGCAGCUGGGGGUUGGGGAGGGGCUGGGCGCUGGACGGGGCUGAGGGAGGUGCGCACAGCCUGUCUCUGAUCAGUUGCAAUAAACGUGAGGUCUUGA